RNAcentral lists this transfer RNA (72 nucleotides) under Camelus bactrianus (Bactrian camel). It matches the Rfam family "tRNA". Rfam says of the family: Transfer RNA (tRNA) molecules are approximately 80 nucleotides in length. Their secondary structure includes four short double-helical elements and three loops (D, anti-codon, and T loops). Lineage: Eukaryota; Metazoa; Chordata; Mammalia; Artiodactyla; Camelidae. RNAcentral also lists the same sequence under 2 other names. The record is from Rfam by way of RNAcentral.
GAGGGUAUAGCUCAGUGGUAGAGCGCAUGAUUAGCAUGCAUGAGGUCAUUGGUUCGAUCCCCUGUGCUUCCA